This 406-nucleotide ribosomal RNA is filed under the name uncultured bacterium. RNAcentral describes it as "partial 16S ribosomal RNA". It matches the Rfam family "Bacterial small subunit ribosomal RNA", at positions 30 to 526 of the family's 1533-position model. The record is from RNAcentral.
AUUGAACGCUGGCGGCAGGCCUAACACAUGCAAGUCGAACGAGUGGCGGACGGGUGAGUAAUGUCUUGGAAACUGCCUGAUGGAGGGGGAUAACUACUGUAAACGGUAGCUAAUACCGCAUACCAUACGAUGUGCCGAGAUGGGAUUAGCUCGGAGGUGGGGUAAAGGCUCACCUAGGCGACGAUCCCUAGCUGGUCUACGAGGAUGACAAGCCACACUGGAACGGAGACACGGUCCAGACUCCUACGGGAGGCAGCAGUGUGGAAGAUUGCACAAUGGGCGCAAGCCUGAUGAAGCCACGCCGCGUGUAUGAAGAAGGCUUUCGGGUUGUAAAGUACUUUCAGCGGGGAGGCGUUACCCGCAGAAGAAGCACCGGCUAACUCCGUGCCAGCAGCCGCGGUAAUAC